Phoenix dactylifera (date palm) is the source of this 1197-nucleotide non-coding RNA. NCBI's taxonomy places the organism in Eukaryota, Viridiplantae, Streptophyta, Magnoliopsida, Arecales, Arecaceae. The record is from RefSeq and is a predicted model, not a curated record.
GGAGAAGGGAGAGGGAGAGAGGCAGAUGAAGGAAAGAAUGGGGUUUCUCGCCGAGCGGUGGACAAGAGGUAUCGCCGUUGGAAGUCCAUGAUCCCCGGUCUGUACGACUGAUUCGCCUACCGGAGCCUCUCGGUGCUUUCGGUACUCCAAGUCUCCAUCUCUCCUCUCUCUCUUCCCCUUCUCUCUUUUUCUUCUUCCUUCUUUAUGUGAUUCUUGCCUCUGCUUGGGUUUUGACCCAAUGCCGAGGGUUUCUGUCCUAUGGUCGAGAGAGGCAGAUGAAGGAAAGAAUGGGGUUUCUCGCCGAGCGGUGGACAAGAGGUAUCGCCGUUGGAAGUCCAUGAUCCCCGGUCUGUACGACUGAUUCGCCUACCGGAGCCUCUCGGUGCUUUCGGGUCGGUACCCUUAGCCGAGCAGAUUUGAAGAAAAGGAGGAUCGUGGUGCAGUGCUGGUGGACCUCACGCUUAGAUGGAUGGGGACGACUCUGAUCGAAGUGAUGAUGGGAAAAGAAGAUCAGGAGGAUCGGGGGGGCGCUGGUGGAAAGGAAUGAUGGGUAUGAAGAAAAGAAUGGGAGAUUCCAAGAAAAUAUACUUGAGUGCAUAGAAGCAACCAAUUGGCCCCUUAUUGUCAUGUUUAUUUGGUGGGUGCCAUAGUCAUUAGAACUAUUUUGAAACUCUUGCCUUGGGGAAAGCUUGCAUAAGUUUGAUAACAUUGGGUAAUUCCAUUGUCACCAUCAACUUGCACUCAUGUUAAUUUGAUUGGAAGAACUGAGGAGGUGGAGGUGGAGAUGGUUGCUUGUUAUUAUUUCACUGCCAGCCUCAAAAAAUGCUGUUUUCAUCCUGGUGUUCUGACGACAACCUUAUGUUAGAGAUGGCAUUGUUUUUCUACAUUCUUGGUGUCCAAAAAAAGCUUGGAAUUGUUAUUGUGGUGGGUUGGCUUCAUGGGGGUUUCACAUAGUACUUGAGAGGUCCUCAUUACUUUCUUUGUUUUACUUUUCUGGGUGUAAGGUGGUUAUCAUCCAGAGCGGUACUUCUCUUUAUAGUUAAAGGGAAGUAAAUUACAUAUAGUUAAAAAGAAGUAAAUUACACUUUUUUUUAUUAAAAAUGCCCAUAGAAGAGGGAGGAAAAAUUGGGCGAGGUUAGAAAUAUCUGAAGAAUUACUAAUAUGGAUUAUUCUUUCAACAUGGUCAUAAUUCUUCUA